Molecule: ribosomal RNA, 448 nt
Filed under: uncultured bacterium
Lineage: Bacteria
Description: bacterial SSU rRNA
Rfam family: Bacterial small subunit ribosomal RNA
Source: RNAcentral
ACCAGACUCCUACGGGAGGCAGCAGUGGGGAAUAUUGCACAAUGGGGGAAACCCUGAUGCAGCGACGCCGCGUGAGUGAAGAAGUAUUUCGGUAUGUAAAGCUCUAUCAGCAGGGAAGAAAAUGACGGUACCUGACUAAGAAGCCCCGGCUAACUACGUGCCAGCAGCCGCGGUAAUACGUAGGGGGCAAGCGUUAUCCGGAUUUACUGGGUGUAAAGGGAGCGUAGACGGCAUGGCAAGUCAGAUGUGAAAGCCCGGGGCUCAACCCCGGGACUGCAUUUGAAACUGUCAGGCUGGAGUGCAGGAGAGGUAAGUGGAACUCCUAGUGUAGCGGUGAAAUGCGUAGAUAUUAGGAGGAACACCAGUGGCGAAGGCGGCUUGCUGGACGAAAACUGACGUUGAGGCUCGAAAGCGUGGGGAGCAAACAGGAUUAGAUACCCUCGUAUUA